This 334-nucleotide ribosomal RNA is filed under the name uncultured Glomeromycotina. RNAcentral describes it as "eukaryotic LSU rRNA". The record is from RNAcentral. Lineage: Eukaryota; Fungi; Glomeromycota.
AAUCAGCCUUUAGGAUGCGAUUUUGUGGAGUGUGAGGAGCUAAUCGCCUUCAUGCCUGUAUAUUCGUGUACUUGGGGUGUACUUAUUCGUGUGGUAAGUUAACAUCAAUUUUGGUCGUCAUAAAAUGACUGGAGGAAUGUAGCUUCGAUCUCGUAUUGAAGUGUUAUAGCCUUUGGUAGAUGUGAUUAUCGGGAUUGAGGAUUGCAACGGAUACCCUUCGGGGCUACUUGUCUGAUCUCUGAUCGUUGCUCUGGUGCCGAAAGCGUGCUUACGAUUAUCAAAGUCGAUGGUUAAUAGGUUAGAACGGGUUAAAUUCGUUAAGGAUGUUGACGUA